UCCUCCUCUUCCUCGCCUCCUUUCCCCGCUCAGGGGCGGAUCCUGCCUCCCCGGCUUGGCCUUUGGGCGGGCUCCGGGUGUCGGUGAGAGCGCGCGGGGGCUGGAGCCUGCCAGGGCCCGGAGCCCGCCGCUGUUGCCGGGUGGACAAGAGCGACCAUGUUGUAGGAUCCUGUCCCCCCUAGUACAAUGGGUGAUCGAUCGUGGUGAGCGUGCUCAAGUGGACAAUAGUGCAGUGAUCCAUGAGGACCAGGCUUGCAUGGUGCUGGGGUGACAGAUCCACAAAGUCCUGAUGCAGCUGCAAGGUGUGCUACAGUACCAAUGGGAGAGGUGACAGAAUAUCGGGAUGCUGAACCUUGAUUUGGAGAAGGCCUACGACCAGGUAUCUCAUUGCUUCCUACUGAAGAUGCUGAGAAGAUGGGGGUCCCUGCAACCUUUGUCACCUGAAUAAAGGCACUUUACACCAA
This is a long non-coding RNA of Alligator mississippiensis (American alligator), 464 nucleotides long. RefSeq lists it as uncharacterized. The record is from RefSeq and is a predicted model, not a curated record. The transcript has 2 exons. Lineage: Eukaryota; Metazoa; Chordata; Crocodylia; Alligatoridae.